This 547-nucleotide ribosomal RNA is filed under the name uncultured bacterium. Its description in RNAcentral is "bacterial SSU rRNA". It matches the Rfam family "Bacterial small subunit ribosomal RNA", at positions 240 to 892 of the family's 1533-position model. The record is from RNAcentral.
AUUAGCUAGUUGGUAGGGUAAAGGCCUACCAAGGCGACGAUCUAUAGCUGGUCUGAGAGGACGAUCAGCCACACUGGGACUGAGACACGGCCCAGACUCCUACGGGAGGCAGCAGUGGGGAAUAUUGGACAAUGGGCGCAAGCCUGAUCCAGCAAUACCGCGUGUGUGAAGAAGGCCCUAGGGUUGUGAACGGCUAACUCCGUGCCAGCAGCCGCGGUAAUACGGAGGGUGCGAGCGUUAAUCGGAAUUACUGGGCGUAAAGCGUGCGUAGGCGGCUCGUUAAGUCAGAUGUGAAAGCCCUGGGCUCAACCUGGGAACUGCAUUUGAAACUGGCGAGCUAGAGUUGAGUAGAGGGGAGUGGAAUUUCAGGUGUAGCGGUGAAAUGCGUAGAUAUCUGAAGGAACACCAGUGGCGAAGGCGACUCCCUGGACUCAAACUGACGCUGAGGUACGAAAGCGUGGGUAGCAAACAGGAUUAGAUACCCUGGUAGUCCACGCUGUAAACAGCUAACGCAUUAAGUUGACCGCCUGGGGAGUACGGCCGCAAG